RNA transcript from Cavia porcellus (domestic guinea pig), 3019 nucleotides. It is a transcript of the gene named RAB36, member RAS oncogene family, with no coding region annotated. The transcript is spliced from 11 exons. NCBI's taxonomy places the organism in Eukaryota, Metazoa, Chordata, Mammalia, Rodentia, Caviidae. The record is from RefSeq and is a predicted model, not a curated record.
GAUCCCUUGUGCAAACUGCUUGCAGGACUUUCCAAAGUCAGUCCCACCCACACGCAGCCCCCAGCGUCCCGGAUUCGUCCAACGCCCGCAGGUCCCGCGUGACCCAUGUUGCCGUGGUGAUCCCGCGCAGCUCUACAGUACUAGGCCGCUCGGAGCCCUGAGCCUUCGCAGGCGUGGGCUUUGGAAGAAUGAGAUCCUCCCUGACACCUUUAGGACCCACUGUGAGCAGGGACCGCAUCAUUGACACCUUCCCUAAGUGGUACAAACCUGAUGCCUCCCUGCAGCUUAAGGAGCACUUCAAUGAGCAGGUCAGCGCAGCUUGCCAGCGCAGGAACACCGGGACUGUUGGGCUCAAACUCUCCAAGGUGGUGGUUGUUGGUGAUCUCUACGUGGGGAAGACCAGCCUCAUCCACAGGUUUUGCAAGAAUGUUUUUGAUCGCGACUACAAGGCCACUAUUGGGGUAGACUUUGAAAUUGAGCGCUUUGAGAUAGCUGGGAUUCCAUUCAGCCUCCAGAUCUGGGACACAGCAGGGCAGGAGAAGUUCAAGUGCAUCGCAUCUGCCUAUUACCGGGGUGCCCAGGUGAUCAUCACCACCUUUGACCUCUCUGACGUGCAGACUCUAGAGCAUACCAGGCAGUGGCUGGAGGAUGCACUAAGGGAGAAUGAGGUGGGAUCCUGCUUUAUCUUCCUCGUGGGAACCAAAAAGGACCUUCUGUCAGGGGCAGCAUGUGAGCAGGCUGAAGCAGAGGCUGUGCACCUGGCCAAUGAGAUGCAGGCUGAAUACUGGUCAGUGUCAGCCAAGACAGUAUCUAGAGCUACAGCUGGGGUCACAGCUGUCCCAUGGGUCUCCAGGAGAGAAUGUGAAGGCAUUCUUCAGCCGUGUUGCUGCCCUGGCAUUUGAACAGUCAGUACUGCAGGAGCUGGAGAAGAGGAACAGCACUCAGCUCCAGGUCGGCGAUGGAGACCUCAUUCGUGCGUACAGGAAUUGAAGGAAGUUCACCUGAGACUCAGGAAAGCGAGAGACCCUUUAGCCUGGGCUGCUGUUAGCUGGACUCCCCCACAUCCCCUGCACACAAAUGGGUAUAGGCUGUCACUAUGGAGGAGAACAUGCAGUCUAUCUCCUUGAAGGUGUGGAGAGCCUGUGUACCCAGGACUCAGCUACUAUUCUUUAGCAGGAAGCCACUGGGUGCUGGUGCACCUUACAUUGCCUACUCAGAACUGGCUAGUGAGGACACUGCAGUGAUGACCCACCUGCAGGGUCAUCAUUGUCACCUGUGACCUUGAAAGACCUCAGGACUGCAAACUCAGGACAUUCCUGCAGUGGCCCACAUCCCUCACCAUGGCCCUGUUUCCCAGAAAUUUUAGAUGUGGCUUCAGACUCCUUCUCAUCAUGGUGUUCCAGGCAACCAGGACCUGUCAAAGUUGGCCUGUGAGGAAAAGCAUAGCUGCUUUCUCACCUGGGGAUUUUCUGUUAUCAACAGAACAUGCAGUUCUGGGCUUUAGAGUUUGAGGCCUCUUGUCCGCUGCCCCUCUGUCACAGACUCCCAGGCUCCCUGAGCAGCCCUGCCUCUCUCAGGGGCACUGUUGGUCCCCUUCUGAUCAGUGGACCCUCCCUGGCAUCUCUGAGAACCCCAUGGUCUUGCCCUCCAGGUCAGUGGGUGAGGAGAGCUGAACAAGUCCUUUGUGCCUCGGAUCCAUCUGGAGGAUGCAUUUUCUUGGCCAUGAGAGAUGAAAACUGCAUACCCGCCCCUCGGGUAAAUCACUGUACAUCCACUUACCUUGGCACUGCCCCACGACUCAUACCAGUGUGCACUGUUGCCUCUCCAACCUUCUCUCCCACUGGCUUGCAUAUUUCUCAGGACUUGUGUAAUGGCAUCCACAUCUUUGGAGACUGUUCAGUCUAGCAUGUUCCUGCCCACCAUUCCUUCUGCACAACCAGUGCAGACAAGAAUAUCCUCCCCACCCAGCUCUCUGCCCAGAGGGUCUGCCCUCCUCUCUGUCCCUUGUGUUGCUCCUGCAGGAGGUGUCAGGGCCUUGUCACUGCUACUCACUGCCCACUGCUGCUGUGGCCAUUGGUAUCUGCCCGCUCAUCCCCACCGUCUUGCCAUAGGUAGGUGGAUACAUCCAGCAUCCCUAUCUGCUUCUUGGAGAUGGUGAGCAUUCUGGGGGCAGGCUGUGCCAGUUAGUACCCUUCUAAUCUUUAGCACAUUGGUUGUGCCCCAUGAAUGUUCACUGAAUCAUAGCAAUUGCCAAGUAGCAGACAAGAACACUGGCAUGUUUUUUGGUGCAUUAUUCCUUUGCAUAUAUAUGUAUCUAUCAUGUCUUUAUAUAAAUUGCUUUUAAAGGAAUUGUGUGCUUAGUGUAAAACAAGAUACUAAAAAGCAUAUAAAAUAUAUAUUGGAAGUACUACCUUUGAUUGGUCACGUGCUCACUUCAGCAGCACAUACACUAAAAUCUGAUUGCUCACAUGCCAAACAUAUGGAUGGUUAAUAAUUGGUACAGCUCCUGUGUUUCCCUGUCGCAAACCGUAUUUGUUAGCUCAUUUCUCCAGAGUGACCUUGGGUUGUACACACUGCCUGAUAGACUGCUUUCCCCAUGGACUGCCUGGGGGAUGCACACAGCCCCCUCACUCCUUUAGCAUCUACUCUGCUUAAUGUAGACAGACUGUACUUAGCCUGUCCCAUACACAGGUCAUUUUGUUUUGACCAGCAAUUAGCUUUUACUGAUGGUGCUGCAAUGGCCAUCCUUUGUAAUUAUAGUGCACACUCAGGAUUCCUAAAGGAGGGCCUCCUGGCCUGGUCCACUGUGGAGGAGGAGACACACUAGGGGUACAUUAGGGAGGACCAAGUUUGUCGGGUACAAACAGAAUGAUGGUGACCAAUUAUGAAGGGGUAGGAUGGUGGUGGGGAAGGGGAAUAUGGUAUCUUGUUGUUACCAGCUCUUAAACUGGAAACCCACUGUCUCAUGUACACCCAAACUUCUGUAUAUGGUACUUUAUUAAACUCCUUAUGUUGCCUA